This 114-nucleotide ribosomal RNA is filed under the name uncultured bacterium. RNAcentral describes it as "partial 16S ribosomal RNA". It matches the Rfam family "Bacterial small subunit ribosomal RNA", at positions 1360 to 1482 of the family's 1533-position model. The record is from RNAcentral.
CGGUGAAUACGUUCCCGGGCCUUGUACACACCGCCCGUCAAGCCAUGGAAGCUGGGGGUACCUGAAGUCGGUGACCGUAAGGAGCUGCCUAGGGUAAAACUGGUAACUAGGGCU